UGGGGAAUAUUGCGCAAUGGGCGAAAGCCUGACGCAGCGACGCCGCGUGGGGGGAUGACGGCCUUCGGGUUGUAAACCUCUUUCAGCAGGGACGAAGCGCAAGUGACGGUACCUGCAGAAGAAGCACCGGCCAACUACGUGCCAGCAGCCGCGGUAAUACGUAGGGUGCAAGCGUUGUCCGGAAUUAUUGGGCGUAAAGAGCUCGUAGGCGGUUUGUUGCGUCGGCUGUGAAAUCCCGAGGCUCAACCUCGGGUCUGCAGUCGAUACGAGCAAACUAGAGUGUUGCAGGGGAGACUGGAAUUCCUGGUGUAGCGGUGAAAUGCGCAGAUAUCAGGAGGAACACCGGUGGCGAAGGCGGGUCUCUGGGCAACAACUGACGCUGAGGAGCGAAAGCGUGGGGAGCGAACAGGAUUAGAUACCCUGGUAGUCCACGCCGUAAACGUUGGGCGCUAGGUGUGGGGCUCGAUUCCACGUAGUUCCGUGCCGCAGCUAA
This 493-nucleotide ribosomal RNA is filed under the name uncultured Actinomycetes bacterium. RNAcentral's name for it is "bacterial SSU rRNA". It matches the Rfam family "Bacterial small subunit ribosomal RNA", at positions 355 to 855 of the family's 1533-position model. The record is from RNAcentral. Lineage: Bacteria; Bacillati; Actinomycetota; Actinomycetes.